AGUGAACGCUGGCGGUAGGCCUAACACAUGCAAGUCGAACGGCAGCACAGUAAGAGCUUGCUCUUACGGGUGGCGAGUGGCGGACGGGUGAGGAAUACAUCGGAAUCUACUUUUUCGUGGGGGAUAACGUAGGGAAACUUACGCUAAUACCGCAUACGACCUACGGGUGAAAGCAGUGGAUCUUCGGACCUUGCGCGAUUGAAUGAGCCGAUGUCGGAUUAGCUAGUUGGCGGGGUAAAGGCCCACCAAGGCGACGAUCCGUAGCUGGUCUGAGAGGAUGAUCGGCCACACUGGAGCUUGAACACGGACCAGACUCCUACGGGAGGGAGCAGUGGGGAAUAUUAGACAAAGGGGGGAAGCCUGGUCCAGCCAUACCGCGUGGGUGGAGAAGGCCUUCGGGUUGUAAAGCCCUUUUGUUGGGAAAGAAAAGCAGCAGGUUAAUACCCCGCUGUUCUGACGGUACCCAAAGAAUAAGCACCGGCUAACUUCGUG
Molecule: ribosomal RNA, 492 nt
Filed under: uncultured bacterium
Lineage: Bacteria
Description: partial 16S ribosomal RNA
Rfam family: Bacterial small subunit ribosomal RNA
Source: RNAcentral